GACGAACGCUGGCGGCGUGCUUAACACAUGCAAGUCGAACGGAAAGGCCCUGCUCUUGUGGGGUGCUCGAGUGGCGAACGGGUGAGUAACACGUGAGUAACCUGCCCUUGACUUUGGGAUAACUUCAGGAAACUGGGGCUAAUACCGGAUAGGAGCUCCUGCUGCAUGGUGGUGGUUGGAAAGUUUCGGCGGUUGGGGAUGGACUCGCGGCUUAUCAGCUUGUUGGUGGGGUAGUGGCUUACCAAGGCUUUGACGGGUAGCCGGCCUGAGAGGGUGACCGGCCACAUUGGGACUGAGAUACGGACCAGACUCCUACGGGAGGCAGCAGUGGGGAAUAUUGCACAAUGGGCGGAAGCCUGAUGCAGCAACGCCGCGUGCGGGAUGACGGCCUUCGGGUUGUAAACCGCUUUCGCCUGUGACGAAGCGUGAGUGACGGUAAUGGGUAAAGAAGCACCGGCUAACUACGUG
Molecule: ribosomal RNA, 468 nt
Filed under: uncultured bacterium
Lineage: Bacteria
Description: partial 16S ribosomal RNA
Rfam family: Bacterial small subunit ribosomal RNA
Source: RNAcentral